UGGUCCCCCCAGCAGACAGGGGAUUGGGUGGGUCCCUGCCUGUCUAAGCUUCAAGAAGGCCCUCAACCUGUCCUCAGACUUCAGCCCUCACCAGCCAGCCACUCUGGUCUCUACCUACCUUCGGUGACACUGAGGAUUGUAUUUACAAGCCCUGCAGUUACUCAAUCGGCUGCCUUCACGGGCCCCCAAAGGAACCCCAGAUCAGGCUGGCCGGGACCAGGUGCUUCUCUCCGACGUCCAGAGUGAAUUCUAGGUGGCAGAGCCCGGGCGCCUUUGAUUGUACAUCUGCGGAGCUCACAAGGUCAAGCACCUGCUGUGUAUGAGGGACCAUGCUCGGCACAGAUGGCCCGGGGGAGGCUGCAGAAGAUGGGCUGCGUGCCCAUUGCGUAGACGGCAAAACGGAGGCCGGCUCGUCCGGACCAGGUCAGGGUCACCGGCCGGGAACGAGACCAAGCGGGCAUUGCGAACCUGGCCGCUGCGCUGGCCGCUAGGAGACUCCGAGCUUAAUUUAGGCUCCUUGUUAAAUUAUUCAUUCUCCCCUCUCUUCUCCUGUUUAUGACUUCCGCCUUAUCUUCCCUGGGUUAGUGCUUUUUGUUUAUCUGCAUCUUUGGCCCGGAAUGAAUGAAUCAACGAUUUUGAAGGGGAAAAAAAGCCCCGAGCUCCAGCACAGAUAUCAGUGUGCACACCCCGGGCACUCUUGCUUUCUCCCCUCUGCCUCCUUCCCCCGCUCUGUCCCCGGCAGGGCGGGGCCUGGACCCAGGGCCCUGCGCUUGCUAAGGCGCUCACACCAGGGCUGCCCUCAUCCACCCCUGGGCCCCAGGCCCCAAAUUCUGUAACUCGGGGAAAUAAACCUUGCACAUGCUUGACACGCAAGG
Molecule: long non-coding RNA, 875 nt
Organism: Chinchilla lanigera (long-tailed chinchilla)
Lineage: Eukaryota; Metazoa; Chordata; Mammalia; Rodentia; Chinchillidae
Exons: 3
Source: RefSeq, a predicted model, not a curated record